AGCCCUGAGGUGUUUGACAUAUUGGAUUGCAAAUCCAAAGAAGUAGGCUAGGAGCCUACCGGGGCUU
RNAcentral lists this transfer RNA (67 nucleotides) under Bolbometopon muricatum (green humphead parrotfish). RNAcentral's name for it is "tRNA-Cys". Lineage: Eukaryota; Metazoa; Chordata; Actinopteri; Labriformes; Labridae. The record is from RNAcentral.